AAGGAAUCUCGCGUGAGUCCGUUGGGGUGAUUUAAAGGAGAUGAUUAAAUACUCUUAUUAAGGUCUUCAACUGAUCCAAGUGAAUAGAGUAGGCCUAAGGCAAAUGACCAAUAUCGUGAGACCUAAAUUGGAAUUAUAUUCCAAAGACGAAAUCAUAGAGUCCUUGACACUUUUCAAUUUAUAAAUAAAACGGGCUCCAAAGCCUCCUCAGGGUCUGGCCAAUUGCAUCUACAGCAAAUUGGCCUGACUUCAAAACAAACCGUAACAACAGUCAUUACCACCAUUUAACAUGCCUAGUUGCAGAGUAGCCAAAUACAAGAAUGAAUUUGUCUAAAGCCUGAUUAGAGCUAACACCAUUUUAGUGAGUCAUUCUUCCAUAGAAUCAAUCUCCUAAAUCUCACUCCACUUGCCAGAUUCUUGCUUUACAUGUUCCUGAUGCAAUCAUAAUCUAUUCUAAUUUAUACAAACGAGUUGUUGUAGACUGAUUCCAUGACCCUAAUUCAAAUCAUACUCACUAUCACUAUUCAACAUGCUGUAAAUUUCAUAAUAACAUUUGUCUCUAAUCAGACCAUUGAGUGCAAUUAAAUCAAACUUGGAUUCAACUUUUAUGAAGGUUAUACAUACUAAUAUGCAGAUCUAACUCAUUUCAAUCAUAGACUAAGCUUAUACAAAGAUCAUUUUAGCUUAAAAUCAAUUAGCUAUACCUUGACUAAAUCUACAGUAACAUAGUCAAUAAUCACAGCUAAACAUAAUUCAUAUAUCAAGAGAGAAAGCAAGUAUGGACAGAUUAAAGGACCACACACCCUUAAUACACGAAAUCUGGACAUAAAUACAACAAGAACAAAUCAUAUCUUCAAUUCCAUAUUCAAUAGAGAUCCUAGAUGAAGGAUUACAUACCUAGCAACAAGGAAACAUAAGAAAAUGACCAAGUAAAGGUCAAAUUUGAGGGCAAACAGAACUUGGUUAGACAGGAGAACUAAAGCAGUAAUCAACAACAAAUGAACUCCAACUUCAACAGCUUCUAAACCCAAAAAAUAUUCCCCAAAAGCUUGCUUUCAGAUCUCUUUUCUAAGUGCUCUCUUUUUUUUUUGUGUUUUGUUUUUGAAAUUAGGAUUGCUAAAUCUAAGAGUAAAUACUUCAAAGUGUAUAAAAAAAAAGGAUGAAGUCCUCUCAAUCCAGUCUUGUGUGGUGAAGUGAAAAAGAAGAGUGUAUUCAAUGUAUGCAAAAUGUGUGUGUGUUCUCUAAAGGAAUGCCGAGAUAAAGAUGCCUAAAAAUGAGAGUGUAAAUGAGUUUUUAUGCAAAAAAUGAGAGCUUCUUUUGAGAAUCUGUCAGUCCCUAAAAAAUAGGAAAAUAACAUCUUUUAAAACUGAAUUGGACAACUGUCCUAUUCAGAUUUUUUUUUUCUUUUAACAGCCCCUUUAACUUCUGAAUUUACCCCUUUUCACCCCAAAUUUGACCUAAUUCCUUUGUCAUAUUGCAUUUUAACCCCUUCUACUCUAUUCUAGAACCUUCUUAACACCUAAACAGAAAGAUUAAGUGAUUUUCUUAUUUCUUUUAGCCCCUUAGACUUCUGUUAAUUACAUACAACUAUAAUUAGGAAUUCAAAACGUAUCAGGAAGUCCAACACAGAGCAAACCAUAUGCAAAACCAAAUAAUUUAACAAAUAAAUCCUAAUUUAAAUAUGCGACUAACUAAUUCAGGAUCAAUUAGCUUACAAACUAACUAUCAUGCAGUUAAACUAUUAAGCUAAUCAUGCAAAACAUACAAUUAAACAGAUAAUAUGCAAAACGUCUAACUAAAUUGAACUAAGAGAAAGAAAAUGCAAAACAUGGAUUCAUUGAAAUUAACAAGGAAACAAAUAAUCUUAAACAAAAGAAAAGGUCGAAAAGUUACCGAUUGAUGCCGUAUAGGCACUGGUCAGAAGGAAACUGGUGGUCGACCAAACUCCGGCAAUCCAAAGUUAUUGCUAUGUGAGCACUGGCCGGAGAUUAUCCAUCUUUAGGUCAGUGCUACACAUAAUAAUGACUCUGACGAGCCGUGUAGAAGGAGGAAAGAAGGAAUUGAGGAAAUCUGCUGAUGGUAAUCAGUUAAUACCAGUUAUCUAACUCAGAUGGGUCAAGGUUUAGGAAAAAUCAGAAAUGGGCAAUUUAAGUUGAUCUUUGAUUCUUAGAUCCGGAAAUCGAAGAGAUUCAAAAGGUGUUGAGGGAAACCAAUAAGGGGCUGUGAAUGAGGAGGGAAUGAGGAUUGUGGGUGGUGAUUUGGAGCCGUUUGGAGCAGUGCCGCCGCCGUGGGAUGAUUUUCGGCGGCGGCUCUGAGAGAAAGUGAAAAAGAUGAGAGAUGAUGAGAGUCUCUAGGGUUUUGGGGGUUAGGGGACCCGGUUCAGACAGUUAUAUGGGAGAAAGGGGAUGAGUUGCGGACUAUUGGAUCAAAUAAAUGAAGGGCCACGAUUAACCGUUUCAAAACGGCGUCGUUGUGGAUUGCUAAGGCUAGAUCGGGUAAAUUAAAGGACUGGGUCGUGUAACAUUGAAGACAACUAGGCCGUCCAACUUGUUGGCACAGUUUAAAUGCAAGACCAAACUCCCCCCUUCUUUUUGCUCUAAGUUUCAAACCUAACGCAUUAAUGUAGGGUCCUAAUUUUGAAUUAAUCUUUUUUUUGUUUGGAAAAUUAACCCGUUUAUCCUCUUCAACUAAUAAUUGAUCAAUUCACCUAUUAACUCAAUAAUUAAACUUAAAAAAAAUGCAAGACAAUGCAAAAAUGGCUAACGUAUAUUUUUUUGUGAUUUUUAUGUAUUAACUAUGCAUUUACGAUGUAAUUAAAUCCUAAAAAUGCAAUUAAGGUGUUGGAAUGCAAUGAAUAAAAGAAAAAUAAAAUAUAAAAGUAUUUUUGGUAUUUUGUGAUUUAUGGUAUUCUUAAUUAGGCUAACAAUGCAACUAAAUGCGAUAAAAAUGCAAACAAAUAAAUAAAGAAAAUUCCUUAAAAUCUAUGAAAAAUAAUUAUAACUAUUUUGAAUAUUUUUUAGGAGUAAUUUUAUAUGUGGGAUAAAAAUUACGUGCUCAUAGCUGCCCCUCUUUGCUCGAGAACAUGAAGAGUUUUUGGGCCAAGAUAAAGUGAGCAACUACGAAUAACUUUUACCCGUUUGAUACUGCAUGGGAAGCAUUUUGAAAACUUUCGACCGAACCUUGCUUCAGAGGUUUCCUACUUAUCCUUGGCUAUAAAGGAAUCAGGUCAGUAUAAUUCUAGAAGUUUUGGUAGCUGGGACUACCGGGGAACUAUUAUUUCACGUCUGUUGCUGCUGUUACUGUUUGUUGAACUCCUUAUUACACCAAAAUCAAAAUUAAAAAAAAAAAAACUAGACAAGCCUAUCAGGUAUGAGUUACAAGAUUCCUAUCUAUAAGUCUUUUGGAGCUUGAUCUUGAGUCCUGACUGGUUCUUCAUGUAGGCUCUGAUUUGAAUCUUGAUGCUUGCUAGUUUUAGGUGCUAGUUCAUUCUUCUAUGGUUUUUCUAAUCAAGACGGGAAAUGCGAUGCUCAUGACUUCAGUCAUGUCUUGAGCAGUCCAUAUUUUUUCAUCCGCUUCUGCAUUUUGAAUUCACUUUUUUUUUUCUUUUUUUUCUUUAUUCUGGAUUGAGACUUCUUCUUUUGAUCAUCUCAAACCCUGUGCCUCGAGGUAAAAUCUACUCAGAUACCAAAACAAAACAAACGAACGAAAUUUUUCUGCCCUAGUUUUCACCAGGAAAUUUUCAUGAGUUAUUGUAACAGAAAUUUAAACUACUUCUUUAUUGAAAGCAAUAAAAGAGCCGUGAAUGGUGUAUCCAGAGAGAAUUUGAUGAUUUUUGAUUUUAUUUUGAUUUGAUUUUUUUUAAAAAAAAGUGAAAAUGAUGUUUCAACCAAGGAUUGGUGUACCUUAUGUUGGGAAAAUGUAGAUAGGAAAUGGUGUAAAAAUAUCAUCAACUAGGGAGUGGUGACCCUAUGUUGGAAAACACACCUAGGGAUUGGUGUACCCUAUACUGGUAAGGAGACUAGGGAGUGUUGAACCUAUGUCUAAACUAUCACCAACUAGGGAGUGGAGACCCUAUGUUGGAAAAGGAGACUAGGGAGUGAGGACCCUAUGUCUAAAAUAACAUCAACUAGGGAGUGCAAACCCUAUGUUGGAAAAGGAGACUAGGGAGUGGAGACCCUAUGUCUAAAAUAAAAUCAACUAGGGAGUGGAGACCCUAUGUUAGAAAAUGAGACUUGGGAGUGGAGACCCUNNNNNNNNNNNNNNNNNNNNNNNNNNNNNNNNNNNNNNNNNNNNNNNNNNNNNNNNNNNNNNNNNNNNNNNNNNNNNNNNNNNNNNNNNNNNNNNNNNNNNNNNNNNNNNNNNNNNNNNNNNNNNNNNNNNNNNNNNNNNNNNNNNNNNNNNNNNNNNNNNNNNNNNNNNNNNNNNNNGUNNAAAAUAACAUCAACUAGGGAGUGGAUACCCUAUGUUGGAAAAGGAGACUAGGAAGUGGAGACCCUAUGUCUAAACUAACAUCAACUAGGGAGUGGAGACCCUAUGUUGGAAAGAAAGACUAAGGAGUGGAGACCCUAUGUAUAAAAUAAAAUCAACUAAGGAGUGGAGACCCUAUGUUGGAAAAUGAGACUAGGGAGUGGAGACUCCAUGUCUAAAAUAACUUCAACUAGGGAGUGGAGACCCUAUAUUUGAAAACGCAGCUAGGGAUUGGUGUACCCUAUACUACCAUGGUUUUGAACUUUAUUUCUUUUCUUUCUUCUUUUUUUUAAUUAUAUUUUUUUAUUAAGAGAAUGAGUAAAAUGCGGGAAAGAAUUUGGAGAAGACUUCCCAUUUUGGAGUUGUUUCUACUGUAGUUUCUACUCCCCGCACAGUUUCUUUUUGGUUGCACCUGCUUCUUGCAAGGUUGCUUUUGGAUUGCACCUGUUUCCUGUUUUUCAAACAAAGAACAAUUUGUCAGUUUGAAAUGGUGGUUGGUUUUGUCGCCUUGAGUGUUUCAGUCACUUGAUCUUGACCAAUCUUCUUUUGACGAUGAUUUCAAACUGCAACUGAUUGUUUCCUGGAUACCGAGUGCCUUUCUGGCCCCAACGAGCCUUUGGCUUUUCCAAACUUUGCUAUGAUGGUGGGUCGCUUGGGACUUAACCUUUUUCAACUUUAUUUUGCCUUUGUAGGCCUUUCACUUCUGACUUCUUUCUUUCAAUUUUAAUUUCAGAGCAUUUGGGGAAUCCUUGGCUUUUCAAACCUUUCCAAGAUGGUUAGCCACAUGGGAUUCAACCUUUUCAACUUCAUUUCUCCCUUGUAGGCACUUACAUUUGAUUUUCUUCUUUCGAGAGUUUUUGAUUUUAAAGCGUCGACUGCCAUGGACAGUCGGGGUCGACUUGAUGCUCCUACCAAGGUUGGGUGCCUUUUUUGCAUAUUAGCUUGUAUCAAACGAGAGCCCUGUAAAUCAGUCUUGCCAUCCCUUCUUUGCCUUAGUUUUUGGAACAAAGUUAGACCGAAAGAGAUUCAAAGAAAAGCAAAUAAUGGAAUGGAAAAUGAAUAUAAACAAGAGGUAUCCCUUUUGGGGAAAGGAAAGAAGGACUUAUCUGGAGUAUAUGCGGACUUCGAUGAACAUGACAUGCCUUUUGGACUGGAUGCCUGAUAUGUGUAAACCGCCCAACUCUUAGAAAUUCAUCACAACGUUUGCCUCGAAACCGAGAAACCUUGCCCGGGACUGUGUCGAUACCAAUGGUUGUGAGGAUCCUCUUUUCGAUCAGUGGCACCAUUUGCGAGUUUUCACCAGCUGACCUCUCUCAUUUCUCUUCUCACCAUCGUAUUAUAGUUCUCUUUGCGAGUUUUCACUAACAAGACUCUCUCAUUUUUAAUUUCUCUAACUACCAUCAUCUUAUGAUGCCCGUGAGGGUUUUCACUAAUAAAACUCUCUCAUUUUGGUUGCAUCAGAUCCAAGUAAUUGUAUCCUCCAAUUGUGAACAUCUUUGCCGAUUGAUCGAAAGGACUUGAAAAUGAUUUGGGUAAAAAGAAUUUAGAUUGAAUUACAACUUUGGAACCUUUCAGGAGAAACCAUCGCCGAACCAUUAUAACAUCUACCCCAGUUUUCACUUUUGGGGGAAUGUGGAUUUUUGUUUUGGCAUGACUAAACCCCAGAGAGAGGCUGCUUACGUAUCCUUCGGAAUCAAGUUGAACGUAGUUCAAUGAACUUUGUUUUUUUUUUAAUUUUUUCUUUUUUCUUUUUCAAUAAUAACUUCCAGGUUCCUAAGAGGUUUAUCAAUGAAAGGGAACCGGCUCAACGAGUUCUCAAAGGGUUGAUAGUGUUUGGAUAGUGAGAAAGAAAGCCUUCAUCAUCCCAAUCGGAGCAUGUUAAAGCUGUGAAAAAGGGGUCAAACAUAAUACCUUUUGACCGCAUCUGCAUUGAUAUCUGUCUCGGGGUUCCUUCGAUGUCUCCCAAAUACAGCGCUCCUUUCGGCAACACUCUUCUUACAAUGUACGGACCUUUCCAAUUUGGACAAAUUUUCUUUUGGAUUCUUCAUGAUACGGGAGAAUACGUCUCAGAACGCAUUUCCCCAUUUCGAAUUUUCUGGGCUGAACUUUCUUGUUGUAGGCACGGGCCAUUCUUUGUUGGUACAAAUGCACGUGGCAAACUACGGCUAUCCGCUUUUCAUCAAUCAUAGUCAAUUGUUCCAACCGGGUUUUGACCCAUUCAUCAUCCUCAAUCUCGGCUUCAACAAUGAUCUGAAGAGAGGGAAUCUCAACUUCUGCAAGUAUUAUGGCUUCUGUGCCAUAAACCAAUAAGUAGGGAGUGGCCCCAACUAACAUGCACACGGUUGUGCGAUAUCCCAAUAGUGCAAAAGGAAAAUUUUCAUGCCAUUGUCUAGAACCCUGAACCAUUUUCCUGAGGAUCUUCUUGAUGUUCUUGUUUGCCGCUUCAAUAACGCCAUUAGCUUUGGGCCGAUAAGGGGUAGAAUUACGAUGCGUAAUUUUAAAUUGUUCGCAUACCUCCCUCAUCAAAUGGCUGUUCAGAUUUGUAGCAUUGUCUGUAAUGAUAGUUUUAGGAAUACAAAAAUGACAAAAAAUGUUGGAAUACAUGAAGUCCACUACUGCUUUCUUGGUGACGGCUUUGAAAGUGACUGCUUCGACCCACUUUGUGAAAUAAUCGAUGGAAACCAAGAUGAAUCUGUGCCCAUUUGAGGCUUUUGGCUAGAUUGACCUAAUAACAUCCAUGCCCCAAGCAACGAAUGACCAAGGCGCUGAUAUAGGAUGUAGCUCUGAAGGCGGUGCAUGAGUCAUGUCACAGUUUAUCUGGCACUGAUGGCAUUUACGGACAAAAUUGAAAAAAUCAUUUUCCAUGGUCAUCUAGUAAUAACCUUCCCGGAGAAUUUUCUUUGCAAGGACAUACCCAUUCAUGGAGUCCCACAUGCUCCUGAAUGCAUUUUGUUCAUGAUCUUUUCAGCUUCUCGAGAAUCUACGCACCUUAAGAGAUUCAUAUCCGGAGUUCUUUUAUAUAGGAUCCCUCUACUUAAAAGAAACCGCUUGCAAGCCUUCUUAUAGUUAUCUUUUGAUCUCCACUGGCCUGCUCCGGAUAUUCUUUUAUUUUCAAAAACCUUUUGAUAUCAUGAUACCAUGACUGACCAUCUGGCUCUAUUUCAAUUGCGUUACAAUAACCAUGCCUUUCUUGAACUUGAAUCUCCAGCGGGUCAAUAUGAACAUUACCCGGGUACGGCAACAUUGGGGCCAAAGUAGCUAGUGCAUCAACUAGCUCAUUGUGGAAUCGAGGAAUAUACCUGAACUCGACGGACUUAAAUCAUCUGCUAAGAUCCUCCACGUGUUGCUUGUACGGUAUGAGUUUGAUGUCUCGAGUUUCCCAUUCGCCUAGGGCUUGGCGAAUGAUUAAAUCAGAAUCCCACAUGAUUAGUAAUUCCUGUACAUCUAAAUCAACUGCCAUGUUUAUGCCCAUGAUGCAAGAUUCAUACUCGGUGGUGUUGUUUGUACAGAAGAACCGGAGCCGGGCAGUGGUUGUAUAGUGUUGACUUGUGGGCAAAAUCAGAAUUGCCCCAAUCCCCACGUCUUUUGCGUUUACGACCCCAUCAAUAAAAUUUUCCAUGCAUUGGUGUUCCCUGGAAUUACUUCACUCGAGUUUACUUCCUCAUCCGGAAAAUAAGUGCUUAAUGGUUGAUAUUCAUCAUCGACCAGAUUUUUGGCCAGGUGAUCUGCCAAGGCUUGAGCUUUCAUCACCGUGUGAGUGACAUGGACAAUGUCAAACUUGGUGAGCAAGAUCUGCCAUUUUUCUAACCUUCCAGUGGGCACGCUUAUGGAAUAUAUACUUCAAAGGAUCCAUCAUGGUUAUGAGAUGUGUUGUGUAAGCCAACAAGUAGUGUCUCAGCUUUUGGGCGACCCAAGUUAGGGUGCAACAAGUUCUUUCCAACAAAGUGUACUUGGCUUCAUAACUGGUGAAUUUCUUGCUCAGAUAAUAUAUGGCAUGUUCUCUCUUCCCGGUUACACCGUGUUGCCCCAGGACACAGCCGAAAGAAUUUUCCAAGACUGUCAGAUACAAGAACAAAGGUCUUCCUGGCUCGGGUGGAACCAACACCGAUGGAUUUGACAGGUAUUCUUUAAUUUUAUCAAAAGCUUCUUUACACUCAUCUGUCCAUUUGAUUGCCACAUCUAUCUUCAAUAACUUGAAUAUGGGCUCACAAGUGGUGGUAAGAUAAGCGAUGAAUCUGCUGAUGUACUUCAAUCUACCUAGUAGACACAUGACCUCUUUCUUGCUCAUCAGAGGUGGAAAGUCCCGAAUAAACUUUAUAUUUGUUGGAUCUAAUUACAUAUCCCUCCGACUGACUAUAAACACCAGAAGUUUCCCAGAUGGAACUCUGAAUGCACAUUUAGCUAGGUUCAAUUUCAAAUCAUACCUGCGCAGACGCUCAAAAGAUUUCCUCAAAUCUCGCAUAUGGUCUUCAUGCUUUAUGGAUUUAAUGAUCACAUCAUCCACAUAUACCUCAAUUUCCUGAUGCAUCAUGUCAUGGAAGAUGGUAGUUAUAACUCUCAUGUAGGUUGCCCCGAUGUUUUUCAGACCAAAUGGCAUGACCCUGUAACAGUAAGUGCUCCAAGGUGUGGUAAAAGCAGUCUUUUCUGCAUCUUCUUCAUCCAUCAGAACCUGGUGAUACCCAACAUAACAAUCCACGAAAGACUGUAUCUCAUGUUUAGCACAAUUAUCAAUAAGAAUGGGGAGUUUUGGCAAUGGAAAUUUAUCUUGGGACUUGCCUUGUUCAAAUCCCGAUAAUCAACACGGACUUGGGGUUUUCCAUCUUUCUUUGGCACAGGUAACGCAUUAGCCAGCCAUGUGGUGUGUCGGACCACUCGGAUCACACCAACUUUCAGUUGUUUGGUGACUUCUUCUUUGAUCUUAUCACUGAUGUCAGUUUUGAACUUUCUUUGCUCCUGUUGGACUGGUGGAUAACCGAGAUAAGUAGGCAAUUUAUGUACUACCAAAUCAACGCUCAGCCCUGGCAUAUCAUCAUAAGACCAUGCAAACACAUCUUUGAAUUCAAACAAAAGUUGGAUGAAGGCAUCUCUAAUUCUUUCGUCAGCGUGAAUGCUUAUCAUGGUUUUUCGGAUCUCUUCUGAACUGCUCAAAUUAACUAGCUCGGUUUCAUUUAAGCUUAGCUUAGGCUUAUUCUCAAAUUGUUCCAAUUCUCGAUUUAUUUCCCUAAAGGCCUCGUCUUCAUCAUAUUCUGGCUCUUGAUUCAUUAUUUCAAAGUUAGACAGCAUUUUAGGAUCUGGGCAUGAAGUCCGCAAGUAUGUCAUGUUAUUUAAAUCCGCAUUAUUAGAACUGAAAAGAAAAAGAUAACAAAAAAUAGCAAAAUCAGAACAAAGGAAAAGAGACAUCUAUGGACGAUGAAAUAUUGAUUCCAUUUAAUUGAAUUGAAAUAUAUGAGGGUUUAUAUCAGAAUUAAAAUACAAUAAAGUAAAACAUUCGAGUUAUACCCUGAAAUAACUCGUAAUGUAGAAGAGAUAGCAAGACUGAACUACUGGGACUCCCGCCUGAUAGGGAAUGAGGUAGCCUACCAGUUCUGGAGCUUGAAAUCCUGUCCGAUAUAUUGCACCUCGGCACGGCUCGUGCCUUCCCAUGGAUGGACCAUGUGGGACUCAUAUAGCAUUUGUUUCAAGGCUUCGCACAUAUCAUUGAUUUCUUCAGCCGUGAAGGCCUCUUCUUCUUCUUCUUCUUCCAUAUACUUUGGUUUGACAAAUGAUUAGGCGAGAUGUGGAAUGGGCUGGGACAUGAACCACCCAUUUUCUUUGCAUUUGUCAGCCCAUGUUCUGUCGGCCUUUGUAGCUUGGAAGCCCAACCCAAAAUACUUCUCAUUGACGAUUGGGGAAAUGGGCUCAGUAAUGCCCUGUAGAGAUACUCCGAGCCCCUUUUAGGGUUUGUACCCAUUUCUAAUCAUUUGGGUGGCGACCAUGAUCGAAGCAUUAGACAAGCAAGGUUAAGGUAAUGGGGCCCCUUCUUCAAAUUGGUUAGCGACCAAAAUUUCAAAAGCUUGGUACACAAUGUGCUCACUGCCUUCUCUAGCUUCAAGACACGGGACCGAGGGGUCCCAGGAGAUGGAUUGCUCGUCUUCUCCAUGGACAACAAUCUCUUGAUUAUCAUAUUCAAACUUGACUGUUGGUGAAAAGUGGAGGGAAUAGCUCCGACAGUAUGAAUCCAUGGUCUACCUAGGAGGAAAUUGUACGAGGUUUCCAUGUCCAAAGCUUGGAAAGUCACCUUAAAGUCUACAGGUACAAUAGUUAAAAUCAGAUCAGUUUCUCCUAUUGUGUCUCUCUUGACCCCAUCAAAAGCUCGUACGCAGAUAUUGUUAGCCCAACUUCUUUAUGUUCCAAUCUCCAUUCUCUGGAGUGUUGAGAGAGGGAAAAUAUCUACCUAGACCUACCAUCUAACAUCACUCUUUUCAGAUAAUAGUCCUCACAUUUGACAGUCAGGUGGAGGGCUUUGUUGUGGGCAGCUCCCUCUACGGGCAAAUCAUCGCAGCUGAAGGAAAUCUUAUUGACCUCAAAAAAUCUUUCGGCCAUCCUUUCCAAUUGUUCGAUAGAAGUAUCAACCGGGACAUACGCUUCAUUUAAUGUUUUGAGGAGAACUUUUUGAUGUUCAUCCAAACUCAGCAAUAGAGAUAAGAGUGAGACUUGGGAAGGAGUCUUCCGGAGUUGGUCAACUAUUGAGUACUCUGAAGUUUUCAUGUUUUUAAAAAACUCUUCCGCUUCCUCAUUGCUUAUAGGCUUCUUGGAUGGCAUCUUUUUAUCCCUGUUAUGUUUGGACUUCUUUAGCUCUUUUGGGGUAUGGUACGUCCUAGACUGAUUCAUCUCAUUCACUUCCCCCAUAAUUUCUUUCCCUUUGUAUGUAACCACGGUUUUGUUGUAGUUCCAGGGGACUGUGGUAGGAUAUUUCAUUUGACUCUGUGGUGCAGUACUGAUAACCACAAGCUCAGUCAGUCUUGGUGAAAUUACCGGCCUUCACGCCACAUAUGUCCCCUUUGGUACAUAUAGUCUUGGCACAUUCAAUAUAGCUUUCCUUUCAUCGAACUUCUUGGGAAUGCUGAGGAUAAGUUGUUCUUUUCUCGGGGCCUUAGGAACAUAAAGAACCAUGUUCUGGGUAGGUGCUGUCCCAGUUAUUGUUUCAACGGCCUGAGGAAUCAGAGCUACUUUCUUUUCAGUUUUUGUCGGUUUUACCGCCACUUUAGGUCUUGAUUUUAAAUUGGCGAUGGCAACAAUGGCUUUCAAUGUCGGGUCAACCUCUUUCUCAUCACAAAUCAUACCAAUGAUCGGCCCAUUAUUGUGAGUAGGUAGUGGAUUGUUGGUCACAUUAGGGAUCUCUUCAUCCCUCAGCACAAUUCCUUUUGCUUCGAUCAGGCCUUCGAUCGCCCUUUUGAGGGCCCAACAAUCUUCUAUGUUAUGCACUCCCAUUUCUGAAUGGUUUUCACACCUGGCACGCCCUGUAUGAUGGAGACUCAGGAUUUUGCCAAUUGGGAGUCACGGGUUGCAACCCAGUUGUAUUAACUUCUGAAGCAGACUGGAGUAAGAUUCACCAAUGGGGGUGAAAUUGUUUUGUCUAGGAGGCACUCUACGAUAGCCUCGCCACGUGAAACGCACCCGCGAUUUACAACAUGUUUAUUAUUAUUAUUUGAAGUUGUGGUCAAGUCGCGUGAAACGCGCACUCGAAUUGGGAUUUAUGUAUCGUGAUAUGCCACGGGAACCGUACCCAUAGUCAUGAUGUUUUACUAUUAAUCACGCCUAAAGUAAACUACGAUGUUCAAAAUUGUUUAAUACCUAAGUUUGAGAUGAAGUUCAUCAGUUAUGGAUUCAUUUUGUAUAGAGUACAUAUAAUCUUAUUGAGGAAUCUCGCACGAGUCCACUGGGGUGAUUUAAAGAAGCUGAUUAAAUACUCUUAUUAAGGUCUUCAACUGAUCCAAGUGAAUAGACCGGGCCUAAGACAAAGGCCCAGUAUCGUGAGACCUAAAUUGGAAUUAUAUUCCAAAGACUAAAUCAUAGAGUCCUUGACUCUUUUCAAUUUAUAAACAAAAUAGGCUCCAAAGCCUCCUCAGGGUCUGGCCCAAUUGCAUCUACAACAGAUUGGCCUGACUUCAAAAAAACAAAAACUAGGCCAUCGUGACAAGCCCAAUAGUGUGGGAAAUCGAUUAUAUUGCACAAAGAAGUACUGGUUGACAGUUUAAUUAAAUAGAGAAUUUAGAAAUGAAAAAAAAACUACUGAUCAAUAGUUCAAUUAAUUACAUGAAAUAAAGAAUUCGAAAGAAUUUUUCACAAAGCUAAAUGUAGCAGGAAUUGCAAGGUUUUUACUAAUAUCAGUCUACAUGCCAUUAACGAAUCCUAAAACAAACUGUAACAACAGUCAUUACCACCAUUUAACAUGCCCAGUCGCAGAGUAGCCAAAUAUAAGAAUGAAUUUGUCUAAAGCCUUAGAGCUAACACCAUUUUACUGAGUCCUUCUUCCAUAUAAUCAAUCUCCUAAAUCUCACUCCACUUGCCAGAUUCUUGCUUUACAUGUUCUUGAUGCAAUUAUAAUCUAUUCCAAUUUAUACAAACGAGUUGUUGUAAACUGAUUCCAUGACCCUAAUUCAAAUCAUACUCACUAUCACUAUUCAACACGCUGUAAAUUUCAUAAUAACAUUUGUCUCUAAUCAGACCAUUGAGUGCAAUUAAAUCAAACUUGGAUUCAACUUUUAUGAAGGUUAUACAUACUAAUAUGCAGAUCUAACUCAUUUCAAUCAUAGACUAAGCUUAUACAAAGAUCAUUUUAGCUUAAAAUCAAUUAGCUAUACCUUGACUAAAUCUACAGUAACAUAGUCAAUAAUCACAGCUAAACAUAAUUCAUAUAUCAAGAGAGAAAGCAAGUAUGGACAGAUUAAAGGACCACACACCCUUAAUACACGAAAUAUGGACAUAAAAUACAGCAAGAACAAAUCACAUCUUCAAUUCCAUAUUCAAUACAGAUCCUAGAUGAAGGAUUACAUUCCUAGCAACAAGGAAAGCAAAGAAAAUGACCAAGUAAAGGUCAAAUUUGAGGGCAAACAGAGCUUGGUUAGACAGGAGAAGCUAAAGCAGUAAUCAACAACAAAUGAACUUCAACUUCAACAGCUUCUAAACCUAGAAAAUGUUCCCCAAAAGCUUGCUUUCAGAUCUCUUUCUAAGUGUGUCACUAACCAAACUCCCUCCGUAUAACGUCAUGAUGACACCUAGUCUCUACGACUAGGUAAGCCUAACAAAUUACGAAAAAUAACAAAGCGAAAAUAAAACUUGACAACUAACAACAGUUGAUAACUGAAUAACUAGUAACAAUGUCGCUCAGCAUGUACAAUAACCAAUAAUAUAUAAAUACAUAGUCUUUCCAAAACCUAGAACAUUAUAAGUCACAAGCUACAUAAGGAAAACUAGUAUCUCUAUACACAAGAGUCUAAUAAGAGAAGUACGGAAGGUAAAUGACAUAGGAGAAAAUAGAGGGGGACUCCGAGGUCUGCGGGCGCGGCAGAUGUACCUUGAAGUCUCCGUAUAGGAGCAAGCACUCUCAGCUAAUAGCGGGGCUAAUUAGAAGUACCUGGAUCUCCACGCAAAAUAUGUGCAGAAGAGUAGCAUGAGUACACCACAACGGUACCUAGUAAGUUCCAAGCUUAACCUCGGUAGAGUAGUGAUGAGGUCAGGUCAGGCCCACUGGUAUAUAAUAAAUAAAGCAGGAUAAUAUAACAGUACAAUAAGAGACUGGAAUUUAACACAAGGAAAACACAGCGAAAUAACAGUACAACACACAAGGGUAAAUAACAGGGGAUCUCCCGAGAUACCGUCUCGUAGUCCCAAAAUAUAAUAUGCAGGGAGAACUCCCAAGGUACCGCCUCGUAGUCUCAAAAGUAAAUAUACAGGGAGAACUCCUGAGGUACCGCCUCGUAGUCUCAAAAGUAAAUAUGCAGGGAGAACUCUCGAGGCACAGUCUCGUAGUCUCAAAAGUAAAUGUGCAGGGAGAACUCCCGAGGAACCGCCUCGUAGUCUCAAAAGUAAAUACACAGCUCAAACCGAUAAAUACAACAGUUAACAACAAGAUUUCUACAGUUAUACUAAUAAAGAACAAGGAAAAGCAGGAAAUCAACUAGGCAUGCUUCACAGAGUUCAAAUAAGCAGUUAAAACAUACAGACAUGCGAUAUUAUACUAAACAGGAUAGCUACACAUAUUACAACAAAUAUUCCGUGUACGUACUCAUCACCUCACGUACACGGCGCUCACAUAUCACAAUAGUACCAAAUCCUAAGGGGAUUUUUCCCACAUAAGGUUAGGCAAGCCACUUACCUCGAACCAAGUUCAAAUCAAUCCGUAAGAAUGCCCUUUCUUCGAUUAUCUGACUCUGAAUGGCCCAAAUCUAGCCAAAUACAAUUACAUACCAUAAAUAUAUCUAUAAGAAACUAAUCUAAUUAAUGAAAUCUAAGCGAAAACAAGAAAAUUAGGAAUUCGUCCCAAAAAGCCUCUCCGGGGCCACGUCUCGGAAUCGGGUAAAAGUCAAAACAUAUGAACACCCAUUCACUCAUGAUUCUAACCACACAAGAAUUACUCGGAUCCGACCUCAAAUCACCUUCCAAAACUCGAAACUUUAGUCUAUGAAGUUUCUACCAUUUUCUCCCAAAUUUCCAACUCAAAUCCCUAGUUAGAUGAUGAAAAUAGCAAUAGAUUCGUGAAAUAUAUUCCAAUUUGAGUUAGAAUCACUUACCCCAACAAUCUUCUUGAAGAAACCUCGAAAAAUCGCUUCACACCGAGCUCUCAAAGUCCCAAAAUCAAAAUGGGAAUCAAACCCUCGAAAUCCUAUUUUCUGUCAAGUUAUUCCACAUCUGCGGACCUACUGCUGCACCUGUGACACCGCACCUGCGGAAUUUCCUUUGCAGGUGCGGAAAUGACUAAAAGGGGCUGGGUCCGCACCUGUGUGUGCCCGCCUACGGGAACAGGUUCGCUUAUGCGGUCUCACUUCUCACCUGCGCUCCUUUGGCGCAUCUGCGGGCAUCACAUAUGCGGAAAAUUGCCUCGCACCAGCGAGCCCUGAGCACCUAUCCCACUCCGCUUCUACGAUAGACCUUGCGCAUGUGCGAUCCUACACCUGCGGUCUCCUCACCGCAGGUGCGAAAAUACCAGAAACCACCGCAAGUGCGAAAACAACAGAAACCAGAAAACUUUAGCCAUUUGCCUAACUCCAAAUUCAAAUAAUUAAGCAUUCGAAACAUACCCGAGGGUCCCGGGACCUCAACAAAACAUACCAACCAGUCCUAAAAUACCAUACAAACUUAGUCAAGCCCUCUAAUCACAUCAAACAAUGCUAAAAAUAUGAAUCACCCUCCGAUUCAAACUUAAUGAACUUGAAAUUUUAAAUUUCUACAACUGAUGCCGAAACCUCUCAAACCAUGUCCGGUUGACCCUAAAUUUUUCACACAAGUCAUAUUAAACAUUAUGGACAUACUUCAACUUCCAGAAUCGGAAUCCGACCUUGAUAUCAAAAAGUUCACUUCUGGUCAAAAUCUCCAAAAAUUCGACUUUCGCCAUUUCAAGCCUAAAUCUGCUACAGACCUCAAAUUCACAGUCCGGACACACUCCUAAGUCCAAAAUCACCCAAUGGAGAUGGAACUUUAUUUCGGAGUCGUCUUCACACAGUUCCGACUACGGUCAAAAUCCUAAGACUUAAGCUUCCGUUUUAGGGACUAAGUGUCCCAAAUCACUCCGAAACCACAACAAAAUCUCCUGGCAAGUCACAUAAGUAGAAAAAGAUACGGGGGAAGUAGUAAAUAGGGGAUCGGGGCUAAUACACUCAAAAAGACUGGUCGGGUCGUUACAAAGUAUUGUUUUUGUGUGUUUUGUUUUUGAAAUUAGGAUUGGUAAAUCUAAGAGUAAAUACUUCAAAGUAUAUAAAAAAUGAGGAUGAAUUCCUCUUAAUCCAGUCUUGUGUGGUGGAGUGAAGAAGAAGAGUGUAAUCAAUAGAUGCAAAAUGUUUGUGUGUUCUUUGAAGGAAUGCCGAGAUAAAGAUGCCUAUAAAUGAGAGUGCAAAAUGAGUUUUUAUGCAGAAAAUGAG
This 16583-nucleotide long non-coding RNA is filed under the name Nicotiana tabacum (common tobacco). Its description in RNAcentral is "long non-coding RNA (NTAB_LNC017760)". Lineage: Eukaryota; Viridiplantae; Streptophyta; Magnoliopsida; Solanales; Solanaceae. The record is from RNAcentral.